CCUACGGGGGGCAGCAGUGGGGAAUAUUGCGCAAUGGGCGAAAGCCUGACGCAGCGACGCCGCGUGAGGGAUGAAGGUCUUCGGAUCGUAAACCUCUGUCAGCAGGGAAGAACGGUCACUGUGCUAAUCAGCAGUGACUUGACGGUACCUGCAAAGGAAGCACCGGCUAACUCCGUGCCAGCAGCCGCGGUAAUACGGAGGAUGCGAGCGUUAUCCGGAUUUAUUGGGUUUAAAGGGUGCGUAGGCGGAGUGUCAAGUCAGCGGUAAAAUUUCGGGGCUCAACCCCGUCGUGCCGUUGAAACUGACACCCUUGAGUGAGUGAGAAGUAAGCGGAAUGCGUGGUGUAGCGGUGAAAUGCAUAGAUAUCACGCAGAACGCCGAUUGCGAAGGCAGCUUACCGGCGCUCAACUGACGCUGAGGCACGAAAGUGCGGGUAUCGAACAGGAUUAGAUACCCGGGUAGUC
This 464-nucleotide ribosomal RNA is filed under the name uncultured bacterium. Its description in RNAcentral is "partial 16S ribosomal RNA". It matches the Rfam family "Bacterial small subunit ribosomal RNA", at positions 338 to 795 of the family's 1533-position model. The record is from RNAcentral.